UACGUAGGGGGCUAGCGUUGUUCGGAAUUACUGGGCGUAAAGCGAACGUAGGCGGUGUUCCAUGUCAGAGGUGAAAGCCUGGGGCUCAACUCCAGAAUUGCCUUUGAAACGGGGACGCUUGAGUCCGAGAGAGGGUGGCGGAAUUCCUAGUGUAGAGGUGAAAUUCGUAGAUAUUAGGAAGAACACCAGUGGCGAAGGCGGCCACCUGGCUCGGUACUGACGCUCAGGUUCGAAAGCGUGGGGAGCAAACGGG
RNAcentral lists this ribosomal RNA (253 nucleotides) under uncultured bacterium. RNAcentral describes it as "partial 16S ribosomal RNA". It matches the Rfam family "Bacterial small subunit ribosomal RNA", at positions 524 to 776 of the family's 1533-position model. The record is from RNAcentral.